Molecule: ribosomal RNA, 549 nt
Filed under: Fusarium culmorum
Lineage: Eukaryota; Fungi; Ascomycota; Sordariomycetes; Hypocreales; Nectriaceae
Description: eukaryotic LSU rRNA
Rfam family: 5.8S ribosomal RNA (bases 181-334)
Source: RNAcentral
UUCCGUAGGGGUGACCUGCGGAGGGAUCAUUACCGAGUUUACAACUCCCAAACCCCUGUGAACAUACCUUAUGUUGCCUCGGCGGAUCAGCCCGCGCCCCGUAAAAAGGGACGGCCCGCCGCAGGAACCCUAAACUCUGUUUUUAGUGGAACUUCUGAGUAUAAAAAACAAAUAAAUCAAAACUUUCAACAACGGAUCUCUUGGUUCUGGCAUCGAUGAAGAACGCAGCAAAAUGCGAUAAGUAAUGUGAAUUGCAGAAUUCAGUGAAUCAUCGAAUCUUUGAACGCACAUUGCGCCCGCCAGUAUUCUGGCGGGCAUGCCUGUUCGAGCGUCAUUUCAACCCUCAAGCCCAGCUUGGUGUUGGGAGCUGCAGUCCUGCUGCACUCCCCAAAUACAUUGGCGGUCACGUCGAGCUUCCAUAGCGUAGUAAUUUACACAUCGUUACUGGUAAUCGUCGCGGCCACGCCGUUAAACCCCAACUUCUGAAUGUUGACCUCGGAUCAGGUAGGAAUACCCGCUGAACUUAAGCAUAUCAAAAAGCCGGAGGAA